Molecule: transfer RNA, 93 nt
Filed under: Pyrobaculum sp.
Lineage: Archaea; Thermoproteati; Thermoproteota; Thermoprotei; Thermoproteales; Thermoproteaceae
Description: tRNA-Gly
Rfam family: tRNA
About the family: Transfer RNA (tRNA) molecules are approximately 80 nucleotides in length. Their secondary structure includes four short double-helical elements and three loops (D, anti-codon, and T loops). Further hydrogen bonds mediate the characteristic L-shaped molecular structure. tRNAs have two regions of fundamental functional importance: the anti-codon, which is responsible for specific mRNA codon recognition, and the 3' end, to which the tRNAs corresponding amino acid is attached (by aminoacyl-tRNA synthetases). tRNAs cope with the degeneracy of the genetic code in two manners: having more than one tRNA (with a specific anti-codon) for a particular amino acid; and 'wobble' base-pairing, i.e. permitting non-standard base-pairing at the 3rd anti-codon position.
Source: RNAcentral
GCGGCGGUAGUCUAGCCUGGUUUAGGAUGGCGGCCUGCCAAGCCGUUGAUCCCGGGAGGGAAAACCCCGGGAAUUCAAAUCCCGGCCGCCGCA